Molecule: long non-coding RNA, 1913 nt
Organism: Helianthus annuus (common sunflower)
Lineage: Eukaryota; Viridiplantae; Streptophyta; Magnoliopsida; Asterales; Asteraceae
Exons: 4
Source: RefSeq, a predicted model, not a curated record
UGAAGUUUUAUUCUACACUAUAUAUAGGAAAAACCUCCAUUCUCACCACCAACUCUCCUCUCAGUUUUCACCUAAUAUCCUUUGUGGGUAUUGCUUCAAUUUCAAUCACAACCCCUCCUUGUUUGUUUGUUCUCCGUGAAACAAACAGCCGUAUGGCUCCCAAGACCACUCAUGGCCAAUAUGAUCACCCCAAGGUUCUUUUUGCCUCCUCCUUCCAGUUGCUUCAAUCGGUGGUGAGGUGGCGGGGAGGCGCCCUCCCAUGCCCUCCGGCCUUAGCACCUAACUUCAGCAGCAGACGAGACAGUUCGUGUUCUAAACCUAUGAUUAUACUGAUUUAAAAUGUUGGUUAAGUGGUGUACUCCACAACUAAAAGAUUGUAGAUUCAAAUCCUGUAGUGUGUGUGUGUGCAGACUUGAAUUUUCAAUUUUAAGCUUAUUCUUUCGGGGUUUAAAACGGGUGUGAUUUUCUUCAACUUAUGAUAUUUAGUUUAUCAUAUAAAGUUUACCUUUUUUUAUCAACAUUCACCGCUCAAUUAGUAAAGGUGGUACAAAAAAACCCAAAACAAGUAUUGGAAGGUGGAUUCUAUAAUAUUAGAAUAGAAAGCUCUCUAGAUGUGAUUGUUAUUACUACCAUUAGGCGUAGUUGUUAAAAGCAAUCGCCUAUUGCACCUAGGCCUAUUUUUCAGGUCAGGCGAGGCGAGGCCAGGCAGUUGCACUUUAAGUCGAGGAAAUUGCGCUUUAAUUCUCCAGGUGAUGGUUCAGACGCACAUUCCGGCGAGAUUCCUAGAUUCUAGAGAGCUUCCGGCCAAAUUCUCUAAAUUCUGACAAGAUUCUAGCCAAAUUUCUACUUUUUAUUCAAGGAAACCUACUUUUCUACCCUAAUACUUAGGUCCUCGCUUUUUUUGCGCUUUGCGCCUAGGCCCCAGGCGAGACCUAUGCGCCUUGAGUGCGCCUAGCGCCUUUAAUAACUAUGGAGUUAAGCCAUCUUGCUUGUGAAGCCUUUGCAGUCGAUGUAACAAAUUCACCAAGAACACGAUAACUAGACGGGUCUGUGGGACACUUCCCAAGCCCGAUUAAACUGGCCCGUUUGGCCCCAAAACCCGAAACUCUAAUAACAAUAGACUGUCCGGCCAUUCCAAUGAAAGCUUCCUCUUCACAUACUUCGGACAACAAUCCACCCAGUUUAGAAUCAAGUUUUUUAAAGACAUCGAAAUGGACAGCGACGAUCUAAUUCCAGGAUACCUUAUACAUGAAAGUUAUGAAGACACACCGAAAGCUUUUGAUCAAUCAGAUCAUUCUGCAAAAGAAAUCACAGAAAGUAAUGGUUUUAAUUUAAUUUAAUUUUUUCAUCAAAAUUUGCACUCCUUUAUUUUUAAACAAAUUUUCAAGAUGUUUAGAACUUGCCGAUGGGGAAAAGUGGAUGGAUGUUAUUUUUCUGCUCAAAGAGUCAUUACCUGCCGUACUAAAUAGCAAGACUGGUUUGCUUUUUUAUCUGCUGAGCGAUGAGUUUGUUAAGAUUUUAACAAAAAGCCGGUGAGCACGAGUUAUUGUAAUGUUUUUUAUAGAACUCAAAAUUGAAAUAGUUGGAAAUUGAAAGGUUCACCAAGUUAGAGUUUUUGUUGUAUUUAUUCUGUAUUGCUUUUCUGGUUCAAUUGGUGGCAUCAACGAAGCACUUGAGUUUGCUCAGAAACACUUCGCACCUUUUCAAGAGUUGGGAGCCCACGAAACUAUGAUUAAGGAAUACAUGAUUUUAUUUGGACAUGAAGAUCCUAAUCAGAUACAUCCACAACCUUUUCUACUUACGUUGGAGUACCAAAAGCUUGUUGCAGACAAAUUGAGAGCGACAAUUAAGUGUCUGUAUAUAAAAUCUCUGUAGACAAAUGCUUAUUUUCUUUUGGUGUUUUUUCCUUUAAA